AGAGUUUGAUCGUGGCUCAGAAUCAACGCUGGCGGCGUGCCUCAGACAUGCAAGUCGAACGAUUAAGACUUCCCUUCGGGAAGUGUAUAAAGUGGCGCACGGGUGAGUAACACGUAAGUAAUCUACCUUCGAGUGGGGAAUAACGUCCGGAAACGGACGCUAAUACCGCAUAAUGCAGCGGCAUCUAUGAUGACAGUUGUUAAAGGAGCAAUCCGCUUGAAGAGGAGCUUGCGGCAGAUUAGCUAGUUGGUAAGGUAAUGGCUUACCAAGGCUACGAUCUGUAACCGGUCUAAGAGGACGGUCGGUCACACUGACACUGAAUAACGGGUCAGACUCCUACGGGAGGCAGCAGUCGGGAAUUUUGGGCAAUGGGCGAAAGCCUGACCCAGCAACGCCGCGUGAAGGAUGAAGUAUUUCGGUAUGUAAACUUCGAAAGAAUGGGAAGAAUAAAUGACGGUACCAUUUAUAAGGUCCGGCUAACUACGUG
Molecule: ribosomal RNA, 487 nt
Filed under: uncultured Acidobacteriota bacterium
Lineage: Bacteria; Pseudomonadati; Acidobacteriota
Description: bacterial SSU rRNA
Rfam family: Bacterial small subunit ribosomal RNA
Source: RNAcentral